CGAAGCAACGCGAAGAACCUUACCAAAUCUUGACAUCCUUUGACCGCUCUAGAGAUAGAGUCUUCCCCUUCGGGGGACAAAGUGACAGGUGGUGCAUGGUUGUCGUCAGCUCGUGUCGUGAGAUGUUGGGUUAAGUCCCGCAACGAGCGCAACCCUUAAGCUUAGUUGCCAGCAUUAAGUUGGGCACUCUAAGUUGACUGCCGGUGACAAACCGGAGGAAGGUGGGGAUGACGUCAAAUCAUCAUGCCCCUUAUGAUUUGGGCUACACACGUGCUACAAUGGACAGUACAAAGGGCAGCGAAACCGCGAGGUCAAGCAAAUCCCAUAAAGCUGUUCUCAGUUCGGAUUGUAGUCUGCAACUCGACUACAUGAAGCUGGAAUCGCUAGUAAUCGUAGAUCAGCAUGCUACGGUGAAUACGUUCCCGGGUCUUGUACACACCGCCCGUCACACCACGAGAGUUCGUAACACCCGAAGCCGGUGGAGUAACCUUUUAGGAGCUAGCCGUCGAAGGUGGGACGAAUGAUUGAGAGGGUGAAGUCGUAACAAGGU
RNAcentral lists this ribosomal RNA (550 nucleotides) under Staphylococcus carnosus. Its description in RNAcentral is "bacterial SSU rRNA". It matches the Rfam family "Bacterial small subunit ribosomal RNA", at positions 952 to 1497 of the family's 1533-position model. The record is from RNAcentral. Lineage: Bacteria; Bacillati; Bacillota; Bacilli; Caryophanales; Staphylococcaceae.